Molecule: long non-coding RNA, 30333 nt
Filed under: Citrus maxima (pomelo)
Lineage: Eukaryota; Viridiplantae; Streptophyta; Magnoliopsida; Sapindales; Rutaceae
Description: long non-coding RNA (CMAX_LNC003328)
Source: RNAcentral
AAAAAAAAAAAAAAUUGAUUUCUGGCAUGUGUCUGUACUCUUUAUUGAGCAUAUUUCCCUCUCCAUUCUCCAACAGCAAUCGAAUCACACCAAUAACCAAUCCAAAAAGUUGGCAGCCAUUCUGUCAAAAUUCUUCUCAAAGACAUUUUAAAUUUUAAUAAAGAAAAUAAAGUUGCCUUGGAUGGCAUUUUGCAAGUGCAAUGAUGACUGAAGCAAUCCUCACCCUUUUCUGUUUUUGUCCAAUUUAAUCAUUCAAAAGAGAUCUUAUCAUCUACCCAACGCCAAGCAAUUGAUAAAUUUCGAGCAUUUGACAAAUUGUUUAAGAACAGAACAAUUUCUUUUUGGAGGAAAAAAAAAAAAACAAAAAGGGGAGAGACCGAGAGAGGAUGAGAAAGAAACAAAGAAAGAAAUUUGUCACGGGAAACAAAUUUGAAUUUGUCAUGCUGCUGCACAGCACACACACAGAACACUAGAACAGAAGUCACAAGCUGCCAGCCACUGAGCCACACACACAUAGUCACAUACGCUGCUGCACACAUAGAACUAUAGAAGCCACAAGCUGCACACUGCACAGCACACACAAGUCACAAGCUGCACAGCACACACACUGACACUGUGACACACACGCUGCAAGUGCACAGCACACACACACACACGCUGCACUCAACAAUUCACUCGCAAAGACGCAAACCUAACACACACACACGCUGCCUGUCAGCCACAACUUCACAAAUCACAAACACAAACACAAACAAUGAAACAACUGAACAAGGCAGCCGCAACCCGCAACCCGCAACCCGCAAGUCUGCAACCAGCCACCACAAGACGCGAUCUGUUGCUGCCAACUGCUGAAAUCACGAUCUGUUGCUGCCAAGUGAAGUCGCGACCAGCUGCUGCCAAGUCAAACCCGUCCAGCCGUGAGUCGUGAGCCGCCCGCAUCUCCGAGAUCUGCUGCUGCCAACUCCCAAGUGAAGCCGCGAUCUGCUGCCAAGUGAAAUCCCGUCCGUCCAGCCGUGAGCCGUGGCCACCGAUCUGCUGCUUGAAGGCCGAAUCCUCUCCACCCGAACCCGAUUUUGAAGCUUUCCGGUUUCCACCUUCCACUUUCAAGCUUCAAGCCUUCAACCUUUUGACCCGUUUCCUAAGUGUUUCCUGUUUCGUUUCAUGGUAUAUAUACACUAUAUAAUUAAUUAAUUAUAUAUGCUAAAUAGUUUAUUAUGUAAUUUAGUAAUUGUUUAUUAUUUAAUUGUUGUAAUGAACGAAUUAUGUAUUUAUAAAUAUUAGUAAUAAAAUCAAGGAAAUUUUGUUAAUUAUUGAGCUCACAAGAAAUUAUUUUUUUUCAUAUAUAAAAAGGAAUUGUCGAUUGGUGGGUUUUGUUAAUUGAUAAUUGAUAAUUGUUAAUAAUUGUUAAUAAUAGUUAAUAAUUGAAAUAAUAUUAAUUGAUAAUUGUUAAUAAUUGUUAACAAUAAUUAAUAAUUGAUUUUUUUAUGAAUAAAUUAGCACAUUAGGUAGAUUAAAUAUUAAAAUUAAGUAUUAUGUUGUAUAUGUUUUAUAAUUAUAAUGUGUUUAUGUUAUGUAAUUAUGUGUACUUGUGCAGUAGCGUCAAGCUUUCAACCCUAAACAAAUUAAUAAAUUCAAUUAAUAUUAUAUUAUAUGUUAAUCAUCCGUUAAGUUGUUAAGUACAAGUAACUUGGACUUGAAAUUAAAGGAUUUAAUUUAUAAUAAAAAAUAAGAUAUAGAUAGACAAAUAAUAUCAUAUUAUUUAUUAUGGGAAAUGGGUAAUUGGAUAUUAUAUAUUAUAUUAAAAUUAAGUAUCAUGAAUUUCUUACUUUUUGUUUAUGGAGCAUGAACAACUUGAAUUGAAAUUACUAAUUUUUGUUUAUGGAUUAUGUUAAUAAUAUUUAUGUGUUUUGAUUUUUGAAUUAAUAAUAACAUUUUCUUUUCUUUUUUUAGUUGAAAAUUAGUAAAAAUGACUACAAUUAAGAAAAAUGUCUUAAAACUUUCAUAAAAACUACAAUAAUAGGAAAAAAAAGAGCUCAAAAUUGUAUUAACCGAAUUUGACCCGAAUUGACCCGAAUGGACCCGACCCGAAUUGACCCGAAUUGACCCGAAUUGACCCGAACUGACCCGAAUUGACCCGAACUCAAUCCAACUCAUUUUAAAUCCAACCCGAUCCAACCCGAACAUAACCCGAAUUAUUGACCCGACCCGAACCGACCCGAACUAUGUUCGGGUCGGGUCAAUAAUUCGGGUUAUGUUCGGGUUGGUUCUUGUCUAACCCGAACAACCCGAAACCCGAUCGGGUUGACCCGAACCCGAUUUUGCCCACCCAUACUCAGAGGAGGGUUUGCGAAAAAGAUGAAGAAAUAGAUUUAUGAAUGAGAGGGAGGGAUGAGGGUUUUUUGCAGAGUGUUGCACCAGUUUGUGCAGUAAUCUUUGAAGGUAAGUGUUUGCGAUUUCUUGCGGGAGAAAAGAAAAGCAAAGGAUCUUGGCAUCUUUGAAGAAGAUGAUGAUUUGAACUUGAUGUGAGCAAAUUUGUUGUUUCUUCAUAAGUAGCCAGAGAAAAUGAUACAGGAAAGAGUUAAGUGAAAGAUGGGAAACGAAGAAGUAAAGGGGAAAUAGGCAAGCAAAACGCGCCGUUCCUUGACUUUAGUUGUGAAACGGUGCGUUUUGAGUUUUCGGGGUUUGACCCGGGGCAAACAUCAUUUUCCUAAAGGAAAACACUACACUGGAGUAUCUCUAACCAAUACAACGAAAAGGUUCGAUAAAAAAUAAUGUCAUGUUAGUUGUAUAUGUAUGAUCAAAUUCACACCUUCUUUCACCUGCUGAUGCAGUAAGCCGUAGAAGUGUGAUUGAUCAAUCGACACUAAAUAUUAUAUCUAUACUGUUGGGGAAAAAUAUAGGUUUUUAAAUUUUUAUAAAACCUUUUUAAGAUCGCUCUCAUAUAAUAUAUAAGAAUACGUAAUCUAGAAAUCGUACCUUAAAAAUUCGAUUUGACUUUUUCCGCUGAAGUGAUUUAGGCUCUCAGAUCACGAUCCGUCACCACCACUCCUGUUAGAUCACGAUCCGUCACCACCACGCUUGUUAGAACACGAACUGGCACCAAUGAUCUUCUAGGUUAUGACUCAGGUUUGAUCUGCACUUGACUUGUGGGCGCCUUUAUCACUACCAAAGCAACUAGCAUGAGAAAAUUUUUCUCUCAACAAUAGAGAGAAAAAUCUUUUUCUCUGAUCUGUAUAAAGUGGCUGCUCACCUUUUUCUUUAGAGAAAAUAAGUCUUUUUAUAUCUCCUUUUAGUGAAAACCCUAGGCUCCAAAUAAUGAAAAACAAAACUUACGUUACUUGCUUUUUCUAUAGGGGACCCACCUUGUCAAAUAACAUAAGGCCCCUUACAUACAAGCUAAUUAAAUGGAGCCUCCCACUAAAUGAUAUAUUUAGGCUUUUGACCCAAAUAGCUAGUUAUCUUACUUAUUAAUCCAGUAGUGGUGCAAUCAAUUAAAUGAGCUAACCCGGGGAUCAUUUGGGAACAUACAAUAGUGGCUACAAUAAUUAGGCCUGUAAUUAAACUAGCCUAAUUAUUUAAUUCCAAAUCUACUCCACUAAAAGAUUGGAUCUGACUUCCAUAAUUGUAUGCUCGAAUAAUAAUUCGUCCCAAGCCAUAUUGAUUUCUUUACUGCACAAUCAUUUGUACUACAUCGUUAAUUAAAUUGAUAUCUCAACUGUCCAAUCAAUUUAAUAACAUCUUAUUCCUUGAUACUUACUGGUUUUCUCUAAUGAUCAUUUUCAGAAAAAAUAUUUAUUACAAUUAAAUAAACACAUAUGCUUUUAAAGAGCAUAUUUUCCCAACAAUCUCCCACCAGCUCUUAAAGCAUAUCUGGCAUAUUGCACAUGCUCUAGGGCUCUAAGUGCAGGUUAUAAAGGUUUCCCACUAAUGGUCAUUGUAAUAAGAUCUGCCGUUUAGCAUCUAAUGCCACUUGUGGUACUAUUAUAUAACCUUUCUACACUAUUCCCUUAUAAGAUGAUACUUCCUCUCAAUAUGUUUUUGUUUCUUGUGGUUCCUUAAAUUGAGCUACCGCACCACUAUUAUCGCAAAAUAGUUUAAGGGGUGCAGUUACAACAGGUACCACCUUAAGAUCUUGUAGGAACUUGCGGAGCCAUACAACUUCUUUUGCAGCUUCGGAUGCAGCCACAUAUUCAGCUUCAGUUGUGGAGUCUGCGAUACAAGAUUGUUUCACACUCCUCUAACUAAUAGCUCCACUUCCCAAUGUAAAAACAUAGCCGGAAGUUGAUUUUUUGAAAUCCUUAUUUGACAUAAAGUCAAAAUCAGUAUAACCCACUGGAAUAAGUUCAUCACUAGAAUACACAAGCAUAUAAUUUUUAGUUCUUUUCAUAUACUUUGUAAUAUGCUCGACUGCAUUCCAGUAUUGAGGUCCAGGAUUAAAUUGAUAUCUGCAAACCAUCCAUACCGUAAAAUAGACGUCUGGCCUGGUGUAAAACAUGACAUACAUGAGACUUCCCACAGCUUCUGCAUAGGGAACUCGUCUCAUUCUCUCUAUCUCUUCAGAUAUUUUAGGUGAUUGAUCAUUAGAGAAUGUAAUUCCACGUCUGAAUGGUAAUAAACCAGUAUUGGAAUUUUCCAUGCUAAAUCUAGCCAAUAUCUUAUCGAUAUAGACCGCUUGAGACAAUGCUAAAGUUUUAUUUUUCCGGUCUCGUAGUAACUUGAUACCAAGAAUAUAACUUGCCUCUCUCAGGUCUUUGAUAUCAAAUUGUUUUGCUAACCAACUCUUUAUUGUAGUCAAUACUCCUAUAUCGUUUCCAAUUAGGAGAAUAUCGUCUACAUAAGGAAUUAGGAAGGUUAUAUAUUUUUCUUGAAUUUUCUUAUACACACAUGGUUCAUCAAUGUUCUGAAUGAAUCCAAACGAUUUAAUCGCUUGAUUAAAUCUGAUGUUCCAUGACCGGGAUGCUUGCUUCAAUCCAUAAAUGGAUCUCUACAACUUACAUACCAUGUGUUCUUGGCCUUUUGUAUAAAUCCAUUUGGUUGCUGCAUGUAGAUGUUUUCUUCAAGAUACCCGUUAAGAAAGGCAGUCUUGACAUCCAUUUGCCAAAUUUCAUAAUCUAGCACUGCAGCAAUAGAGAGCAGAAUCCUGAUGGAUUUAAGCAUAGCAACCAGAGAAAAAGUUUCCUCCUAAUCGAUUCCCUCUUUUUGAGUAAACUCUUUGGCUACUAAUAUUGCUUUAAAUAUUUCCACCAUUCCGUCUAGUCCUCUUUUUCUCUUAUAGAUCCACUUGCACCCUAUAGGUUUUACCCCAUUUGGUGCCUCUACAAGUUCCCAGACUUUAUUAGAAUACAUAGAUUCAAUUUCUUAAUUCAUGGCCUUUUUCCAAAAUUCAACAUCUCUAUCUAUUAUAGCUUCGUUGUAACUAGUGGGAUCUUGUACAUGUUCAUCUGAGAUAGCCGUAUAGGUUUCUCCUAAAAACAUGUAUCUCGCAGGUAACCUAGUUACCCUCCCACUACGACGAGGUUCUAAAAGUGAUGGUUGCUCAGGGAUAAUCCUGUGUUGAUCAUUUGGUUGUUGCUGUUCUUCCUGUUUUGUAAUAGGCGUUGAAAGCUGAGCAUCAACCUGAUCACCUUUUUUUAUUUCUCUAGUUUUACCUUACUCUUAGGUAAGAAGUCAUUAUAUAGUCUUCCUCAAAGAAAGUAAAAAAUAUGUCCACAAAUACAUUCCUAUCUUGAGGACUAUAAUUCAGACUUUCCCUUAUUCCAUUAAGAUACCUUAAACAUGCAAGCUUCUGAACACAAAUCCAUCUUCUCUACCUCUGAUUCUAGUAGAAAUACUAGUAAACUCCAAAUACGAAUGUGUCUCAAACCAUGUUUGUGACUUUUUCAUAAUUUCUUAGAGUAGUAGACACUGAGAUAGAUGAAACUAAGUUCAAUAAACUUUGUAGUAUUAAAUAUUAGUAUCUGGAAUCAAAAGGUAAAUGAUAAACCACUUAGUAUAUAUCUUGUUUUAUCCAAAAGAAUCUUGUUUCUCCAUUUAAUUAAACUAUUGUAUCAUAGUGUUCAUUAACAACCAAAUAGUGCUUGAAUUCUCCAUAGAGAUAUUCUUUGUUUCGAUCAUAUCGAAGUUCUUUUAUGUUCCUGUCUAAUUGCUUCUAUCUUAUCCACGUACUCUUUUGAAUUUCAAAAGCAAUGGAAUCAUGACGCAUUUAAACAAACAUAAAUAAAAUGAAUAUUCAUCAACAAGAUUGAUAGAAUAUUCAUAACCUCUUAUAACAUGUAAACUUAUUAGUCCAUAUACAUUUGUAUGCGCUAAAUCAUCAAAUACAAUGUUAUGCUUUUAGCUCUAAACGAGCAUCUUCGUCAUAUUACUUUUCUAAAUAAGAUUUAUAGAGUUACAAUGAUCAAUCUUAAUAGGCCAACAAGUCUAUCAUUAAUCAUUUUCUUAAAAUCUUAUUAUAAUUUAUAUGACUUUAGCAUAAAUAUCAGAGGUGAUUUUGGUUUGAAGAAACAUUUCUUUUCUUAGAUAAAUGCAUAUACUCUUUAUCAUUAUAUCUUGCUUUGAAUAAAUCAAUGGACUUAUAUGAUAUAAAUUGUCUUUAUAAAUAACCAAAAUAAAUAAUAAACAGAGGAUAAAAAAAUAACAGUGUACUCCUGUUUAUUAAACAAGUCACCGAAAUUAAAUUCCUCUAAUAUUUGGAAAAAUAAAGACAAAUAUCAAAACUUUAAGUCUUGUAAAAUUGAUCUAGCCUUUCAAUUGAUAUAAACUAGCAUGUCAUCAACUACUGUUUGAAGCUUUCUUCACUUAAUCUCUUGGUUUCCUGAAAACCAAAUAAAUGAAUUACAAAUAAGAUUAGUUAUCUCAGAAUUCAUUAUUGUAUGAAUCUAUAGAAAUCUUUAGGAAGCUUAAAGAUUUCUUAUACCUGAUUUUAAUAAUUUUAGGACAAUCUUUCUUCCAGUGACCAUUCUGUCCACAUUUGUAACACUUGCCUUUUGGCUUGCCACUUCUUUUAGUGGACAGUUUGCCGAUCCCAACUCUUGCUUGCUCAUUCUUGUCUUUCGACUUAAGCCUUAAAGAGAAUCCUUUUUCAGGAAAUUUUCUGCUAUGAUAAAAUUCUUUUAUAGCAUGUAGUUCGUACAUUAAUUCAAUUAAGGUCAUAUCUUUAUUGUUUAAGAUAUAGCUGACCUUAAACUCUUUGAAUGUAUCAGGUAAAGAUUCAAUCACCAUGUUAAUCUUUGGUUUAUCAUUUAUUUGAACACCAUGAAUCUCUACCUCAUUCAAAUAUUCCAUCAUUUUGAGGACAUGAUCCCGAACUUUUGUGCCCUCUUCCAUCUUAGUAUCCGUAAUACGUUUUAAUGCUGCUUCUCUAGCAAAAUGAGUAUUUUUUCCAAACAUCUGAUGAAGACUAGCCAUUAUUCCAAUGGUUGUUUCCAUGCUCCGAUGUUUCUUAUGUCGUUCCACAGAAAUCGAAGCCAAUAUAUAGCGCUUAGUCAUUUUGUUAGCUUCGCACCAUUUCUCAUAAGGCUCAUUCUGAUUUCUAUAAUCGUAUAGCGAUGGUUCAGGAGGACAAGGCUGGGUCAACACAUAUUUGCAGCCCUUAGCAGUGAGAAUAUUAAAUAGAUUGUGUUUUCAAUCUAAAUAAUUUUCGCCAGUGAGUUCAUUUUAACAAAGAUAAUUAAUAAUGGGUUGAUGGAAGACAUUUUCUAAAUAAAAAAAAUGCACAUGCAUAAAUACUUUGAAACAAAAUUCACAAUAAAUGACAAAAAUACAAAAAAACAUAAAUGCAUUUUAAUUUAUUGUAACGAUAAUCUAGUACCGCUUUGACAAGCUAUCCGUUGGGGAAGUUACGUCUAUAUUUACUAGACCCAAUUAUCCAUUGGAUUAUUUACUUUCAUGUAGAGACAUGAUAAAUAAUUAUUGUUAUCCCUUUGGGCCUAAAUUUGUUAACAGAGCUUCGUUGGGAAGGUUAAUAAUAAAUUUUAGUUGAGUGUAUAACCAUUGUUUCAAUCUACGUAUUUUUCAUAUCAAUAGUCACCGUUGGGGUGAACAAUUGAUUGAAAAAAUAUUUCAAUUUUAUCUUUGAAGAAGUUCAUCAAAUAAAAUAUCUAAUAUAUAUACCCUCCGUAUGGAGCAUCACCGUAUCAUGAAGUCGAUGUAUAUAUAUAAUUUUAUUAUUGAACUAACAAUGGAGCCCGUGGGAAAAAUUAUCUUGAAUUUUCCCUCUCCCACUCAAUAUUUUAAAAAUUGGUUUUUCCUUUUUAAAACAUACAUAUUGUUAAUUGCAUGCUUCCUAUAAUAUUAUUUAGAUGAUAUCCAAUAUUAUUAAGCAAUCGCAAAUUACAAACAAUCUAGCGAGAUUCAUAAUUAAUGAAUGACAUGUUAUCAUGGCAUGUUUUCAUCCAAAACAUAACAUAUAGAAAAAUAAUUAAAUAAUCUUAAUUCAUGGCUUUCCUAAUAAUGAAAAAUACAUUAACCCUAAGCCUAAUCUUCAUUGGGCUUCUUGUCAAUGUCCAUCUUCCAUAAGCUUGUCUUUAAUGAACUAGGGGAAAUUGGGCUUUUAAAUUUAUAAUUGGUCCAAUUUUAAUUUUGAAAAGGAACAGGACACAAGGGAAAUAAAUAAAUAAAUAAAUUUAUUAAAGGGAAAAGGACAAACACACCCCCAACGUUUAGGUAAAGGGACAAAAACCUCCCUAAUGUUUUAAAAAAGACAUUUACACCAUAAUUUAUUAUAAUUUUACCAUUACCCUUCUAGCAUAUAAAAAAAUUAUUAGAUUAUCCAAUUUGACUAUAUAUUGUUAAUAAAAUUAUAAAUAUACUCUCAUUGCCUCAUUCCUCUAUUUAAAUUUUUAUCAAUAAUCAAUUUUAAAGAAAGACAUCUACACACUUGAAAAAAAUUGUAAAUAAAUUAUAAUUUAUAAAAAAUUGGUUAUGAAUACCAUAAUAAAUAACAUAGAAAAUUGGUUAUAAAUGUACAAUUUUAAAUGAUUGACAUGUGGAGAAUUGUUAAAUAUACAAGUUUAAAGUUUAAAUAAAAUUAGUUAUUAAUAACCAAUUUUAUUUUUUAAAUUAUAAUUUUUUUACAAUUUUUUUAGGUGUAUAGAUGUAUUUUUAAAAAAUUGGUUAUUGAUAAAAAUUUAAAUAGAGGAAUUUGGCAAUGAGGGUAUAUUUAUAAUUUUUUUUUAUAAUAUUCAAUUUGUCUAUUUAUAAUUUUAUUAACAAUAUAUAGACAAAUUGGAUAAUCUAAUAAUUUUUUUUAUAUGCUAGAAGGGUAUAAUGGUAAAAUUAAAAUAAAUUGGGGUGUAAAUAUCCUUUUUAAAACAUUAGGGGGAAUUUUGGUCCCUUUACCUAAACGUUGGGGGUGUGUUUGUCCUUUUCCCUUUAUUAAAAUAAAACUUUUGGACCAAAAAUAAAUUUAAUGUAUUCAAUUUUAUCUAUGCAUUUUAAACCAUUAAGCCCUAUUGAAAUUGGGGCUAAAGCUAUGAUUCAUUAAGCCCAAAACUAUUUUUGGACUUAAAUGCAAAAAAUUUAAACGUGUCUGCCCAAAAGAAAAAACUACGGAGCCAUAGGGACCUCAAUGAUAGAAACCAUUGAAACCCUAAAUCCAUCUUUUUCUCUUUCCUUUCUUCCCCAGCCGCCAUCUCCAAAAAAACAGCCAUUGUUCGCUAUUUUUGCACCAGACAGCCGCGCCAUUAACGCUGGAAACAAACCAACCCUGCGCGCGAUGCUUGCUGGAGCGCACGCUGCUGUUGCGUACGAUGCUACUGCGCGCGCCGCUAGCCAGGCUGGCUACGCGCAUCGCUUGCUGCCCGCAGCGCGCGCUGCUAGCAGCGUGUGCUGCCUGCUGCAUGCAUUGCCAACAUGCGCUUGCAGCUUGUACUGCACAUUGGCUGCAGCGAGUGCGCUGGUCGGUGGUCGCUAUUGAAAUUUUCGGCCUCCGUCGCUUUGAGCUCGUUUUCCAGUGAUGAUUUUUCAGUCAUUUACAAAUUUUCUAUGCCAAUUUUUGGCUUACAAAAUUUCCAUUAUAGUAAAAUAAAUCAGGAGGGAAACAUGGUGAUGAAAAACCACUCCUCUUGUUAUAGAUCCAAACAAAAAAUACAGCAGAAAAUCUAACCAUGAAUUAAGACAAACCAAAACAUGCUUUAUUCAUAUAUUAAACAAAUAAUAUAUAUCUGAAUAAAUUAUGCUACUCUAAUACAUAAAUUUCAAAAAUGAUUUCAUACAAUAUUCUUAUAUAUUAAUAUGGGAUGGCUCUAAUACCAAUUGUUAGGGAAAAAUACAAGUUUUUAAAUUUUUAUAAAACCUUUUUAAGAUCGUUCUCAUAUAAUAUAUAAGAAUACGUAAUCUAGAAAUCGUAUCUUGAAAAUCCGAUUUGACUUUUUCCGCUGAAGUGAUUUAGCUCCCAGAUCACGAUCCGUCACCACCACUCCUGUUAGAUCAUGAUCCGUCACCACCACGCUUGUUAGAACACGAACUGGCACCAAUGAACUUCUAGGUUAUAACUUAGAUUUGAUCUGCACUUGACGUGUGGGCGCCUUUAUCACUACCAAAGCAACUAGCACGAGAAAAUUUUUCUCUUAACAAUAGAGAGAAAAAUAUUUUUCUCUGAUCUGUAUAAAGUGGCUGCUCACAUUUUUCUUUAGAGAAAAUAAGUCUUUUUAUAUCUCCCUUUAGUGAAAACCCUAGACUCCAAAUAAUGAAAAACAAAACUCACGUUACUUGCUUUUUCUAUAAGGGACCCACCUUGUAAAAUAACAUAAGGCCCUUUACACACAAGCUAAUUAAAUGAAGCCUCCCACUAAAUGAUAUAUUUAGGCUUUUGACCCAAAUAGCUAGUUAUCUUGCUUAUUAAUCCGGUAGUGGUGCAGUCAAUUAAAUGAGCUAACAUGGGGAUCAUUUGGGAACAUACAAUAGUGGCUACAAUAAUUAGGUCUGUAAUUAAACUAGCCCAAUUAUUUAAUUCCAAAUCUACUCCACUAAAAGAUUGGAUCUAACUUCCAUAAUUGUAUGCUCGAAUAAUAAUUCGUUCCAAGCCAUAUUGAUUUCUUUACUGCACAAUCAUUUGUACCACAUCGUUAAUUAAAUUAAUAUCUGAACUGUCCAAUCAAUUUAAUAACAUCUUAUUCCUUGAUACUUACUGGUUUUCUCUAAUAAUCAUUUUCAACAUACUAAAUAUGUUGACACACUCUGGCCAGAGAAUUCUAUGAUCAAGUGCCGAAAACUCAUCAAGAGAUGUGUUGUACAAAUUCUAUAUUGUUAAUCUAUAACUCCAAUACUCAUAAAUGCUCCCACCAAGAUACCGGGUAAUCUAGACUACAAGUAUGUGUCAUGCCCAUUGGUAACCCAAAUGGAAUAACAAUUACAAUCAUGAAAUCAUAAUUAAUUCAAGAUUAAGAUUACAGUAAAAUCAAUGCCUAUGAGAUUUAAUAAGUCUGACAGUUAUUACAAAGUUAAUUAAAUCUCAUAUGUGAUCCUAUUCAAUGUAGUCGUACUACAUCAAUAAAUUCAUACAUGAUUAAGACAAAUCAUUCAAUGAAUUUAUUACAGUCUAUACCUAAAUAAAGUGUCCAACUUUAUUUAUCAACUGCGAACUAAAUUUAUUUAAUCAUAAGAUAACUUGUAUUUAUGUCUUAUGUGAAUCCACAUGGUGAUCACAUAAAUACAUAUAAUAUGAUUAAAUGGACUUUAAUAAAAAUAUUAAUGCAAUUAAGAUAUUUGAAUAAAAUACCUCAUUAAUUUUAUUAAUCAGAAAAAAUAUUUAUUACAAUUAAAUAAACACAUAUGCUUUUAAAGAGCAUAUUUUCCCAACAAUCUCCCACUAGCUCUUAAAGCAUAUCUGGCAUAUUGCACAUGCUCUAGGGCUCUAUGUGCAGGUUAUAAAGGUUUCCCACUAAUGGCCAUUGUAAUAAGAUCUGCCGUUUAGCAUCUAAUGCCACUUGAGGUACUGUCAUAUAACAUUUCUACACUAUUCCCUUAUAAGAUGAUACUUCCUCUUAAUAUUUUUUUGUUUCUUGUGUUUCCUUGGUUCCUUAGAUUGAGCUACCGCACCACUAUUAUCGCAAAAUAGUUUAAGGGGUGCAGUUACAGCAGGUACCACCUCAAGAUCUUGUAGGAACUUGCGGAGCCAUACAGCUUCUUUUGCAGCUUCGGAUGCAGCCACAUAUUCAGCUUCAGUUGUAGAGUAUGCGAUACAAGAUUGUUUCACACUUCUCCAAAUAAUAGCUCCACUUCCCAAUGUAAACACAUAGCCGGAAGUUGAUUUUUUGGAAUCCUUAUCUGACAUAAAGUCAUAAUCAGUAUAACCCACUGGAAUAAGUUCAUCACCAGAAUACACAAGCAUAUAAUUUUUAGUUCUUUUCAUAUACUUUAUAAUAUGCUCGACUGCAUUCCAGUAUUGAGGUCCAGGAUUAAAUUGAUAUCUGCAAACCAUUCAUACCGCAAAAUAGACGUCUGGCCUAGUGCAAAGCAUGACAUACAUGAGACUUCCCACAGCUUCUGUAUAGGGAACUCAUCUCAUUCUCUCCAUCUCUUCAGAUGUUUUGUAUGGAAACGUGAUGUCUUAUUAACAAAAAAAGAAAAAAAGAAAAAAAGAUUAUUCUCGGAAACUAACAUAGGUUAUUUUGUUUUCUAACAUUAAGUUUAAUUUUAAGGAGUAAAAUUCAUUGUUCCUGUAAUCUUCUAUUUUUCUUUUUAUAAUUCUUAAUAAAGCUUCUCCCCUUUGCCGAAGUUGGACAAAAAAAAAAAACUCUGAUAGUCAAAUUAUUUGUGUAAAUACAAAUAUUUUACUAAUUAAGGGCAUGUGUCUUUAAUUAGAAAACUUAAAAGAUAAUUGGCUAUGCAUAUCAUUUAUUAAUUCUUCCAAAAAUAUCAUAAGCUAACAAUUCCGGAGAAUAUCUACCGUCUGCAAGUUGAUUUUUGUAGCUUUUCAAUUGUUAGGAUGGCCUAUGUUUUCCAACAACCGAAAACUAAAGCCAGCUUGCUACCAUUUCCUUUGUCGCACAAACUAAUCACAUGCUCAAUCGAAGGUGUGGGGAAAAAAUUUGCCUUCUUGGUGCUUGAAUUAAUGUACAUUUUUUUUUUCAAAAUGCAAACGUUGCCUAAGAUGGUAAUUAACAUGUAAGAUAGAUUGUUACAUUUUUCUUAAUCUUUGGUUUGAUAUUCUGGACGAAAACGGUUUGCCGUUUCUUGAGAAAACGGCUAAUCGUUUAAGUCCAGAGAGCAUGUUUUUGUUCUGGGAUAAAAUGGCUCACCAUUAUUGAGAAAACGGCUAACCGUUUAACUCCAGAGAGAAUGUUUUAUGUUCUAGAGAAAAAACAGCUCACCGUUAUUGAGAAAACGGCUAACCGUUUAUUUACAGAAAACAACGUAUUUGACAUUCUGGAAUAAAACAGCUCACCGUUUAUUGAGAAAACGGCUAAGCGUUUAUUUCCAGAAAUGCGUCAACUGGAAAACGGUUAAGCAAGUUUGAAAUUUAAUUGUCAAUCAAUGCAAAUUCAAACCAAAAGAGUGUCUUUGAAGAAGCACCAUUUCGAAUGGUUGUAUUCUUUUAAAUAAACAUCUUCUUCAUUAAAAGAAAGAUAUACAAUUAGAUUUAUAAUUAGUUUUUACAGAUUUCAUAUAAGUUCUGGAAAUACAAUCUUAUUUGCUAAAGAUUGUAUUCAGGAUUUGAUAUAUCUUGGGUGUAAUUUGCCAUUAAACUCUAUAGCAAAUCAAGAUUGGUGAGGGCAAAUAAAACCUUAAAGGAAAGUGUGCAAACACGUCUCAAAUCCUAAGAAAUUGUCUCUAUUCUUUGCCUCCAUAUUAUUAAAUUCACCAACAAUCUUUAAGGUUUUAUUUAAAUGGAGGCUGAGAAGAGUUUGACAUCUUUUCUGAAUCCUAGUGUUCAUCUCGAUCAUUUUGAUGGAACUAAUUUCACUCGUUGGAAGGGAAAAUUGUUCUUUCUCCUUACUGUUCUUAUAGUGGCAUAUGUUCUAGAUUCGAAAUUGGAACCAUUUCCAGAACCAAGAGAAGAUGAUACCGAAGUUGUUAAGGCUGCAAGGAAACGUCGUGAAGAUGAUGAAUUGAUGUGCCGGGGUCAAAUACUCAAUACACUUUCUGACAGGUUAUACGAUCUCUACAAUUCUAUGACUUCUCCGGUGGAAAUUUGGAAUGUUCUUGAGUACAAAUACAAAACGGAGAAAGAAGGUACUGACAAAUUCCUUGUAUCUAAAUAUUUUGAAUUUAUUAUGGUAGACACAAAAUCUAUUCUUGAUCAAAUACAUGAGUUACAAAUUAUUGUUGCUAAGCUUCGAGAGUUAAAAGUUGAAAUUUCUGAAUCAUUUCAAGUUGGGGCUAUUAUUGCUAAAUUGCCUCAAAGUUGGAAUGAUUAUAGAAAGAAACUCCUUCAUAGUAAAGAGAACAUAACUUUAGAAGAAUUGCAAAAACACUUGGUAAUUAAAGAAGAGACUAGGUCUCGCGAAUCCAAGGAUAAGCAUGAUUCUACUAAAGUUAAUGUUGUUGAAGCUAGUAAAUUCUCAAAGAAUUUUAAAGUCAAGAAUGACAAGAAAUUCAAGAAGUCCAGCACACAAAAGUUUUCUGGAAAUUGUUUCUUUUAUGGUAAGAAAGGCCAUCGCCAAAGUGAUUGCAAAUUCAAGAAGAAAAAUGAAGAAGUGAAUUCCCAUAAAGCUAAUGUUAUUGAAAACAAAUCUGAAGAGAUUUGUGCUAUGGUUUCUGAAAUGCAAAUUGGCAUGAUUACCGAAACCAAUAUGGCUGAAACUAAGUCCUAUGAUUGGUGGCUCGAUUCGGGUGCAACAAUUCAUGUUUGUAAUGAUAAGAAAUUUUUCUUAUCAUACAAAGAAGAAACGGAAUGACAAAUGGUUCUCAUGGGGAACAAUAAUGCAGCCAUAGUAGCAGGGAAAGAAGUAGUUGAGAUCAACUUCACUUCUGGAAAGAAAGUCACAUUGUAUAAUGUCUUUCAUGUACCUUCCGUUAGAAAGAAUCUUAUUUAUGCUAGUUGUAUGUGUAAGCAUGGGCUUAAGAUUGUGCUUGAGGGUAAUACUUGUAUUGUCUCAAAGAAUGGAUUAUUUGUUGGGAAAGGGUAUUCUUGUGAUGGAAUGUACAAACUCAGCAUAAAUAAUAAUAAUAUCAACUUAGCUUAUAUUGUUGAGUCUUGUGAUAUUUGGCAUGCUAGAUUAGCACAUUUGAACUUUAGAUCUUUGAAAUACAUGUCUAAGCAUGGUUUGAUUAAUUGCAAUGAUGUUAAAGGUCAUAAGUGUGAAAUCUGCAUCCAAGCUAAAUUAACUAAGAAACAUUUUCCUAAAGCUGAACGAAAUACUCAAAUAUUGGAUUUAAUACAUACCGAUAUUUGUGAGUAUAAUGGCAUGUUAACAAGAGGAGGUAAGAGGUACUUAAUCACUUUUAUUGAUGAUUGUUCUAGAUACACUUAUGUGUAUUUACUUAGAACAAAAAAUGAAGCUUUUGAUAAAUUUAAAAUUUUCAAAGCUGAAGUUGAGAACCAAAAAGAUAAGAAAAUCAAAAUGGUUCGUAGUGAUAGAGGUGGUGAAUAUUUCUCAAUUGAAUUUAAUAAUUAUUGUGAAGAAUUUGGAAUUAUUCACCAAAGAUCAGCUCCAUUUACUCAUCAACAAAAUGGUUUGGCUGAAAUGAAGAAUAGGAUUUUCACGGAUAUGAUAAAUUCCAUGAUCCUUAAUGCAAAACUACCAAAUAAUUUGUGGGGGGAAGCAUUACUCAUUGCAUGUCAUAUUCAUAACAGAAUUACAUCUUUGAAAACACAUAUAUCUCCUUAUGAAAUUUGGAAAGGAAGAAAACCAAACUUGAUGUAUUUAAGAGUCUGGGGUUGUUUAGCUUUUUAUAAAAUACAUGAUCCUAAGUCAUCAAAGUUGAGUGCUAGAGGUAUAAAAAGUGUUUUCGUAGGAUAUGCUGAAAAUUUCAAGGCUUAUAGGUUGUUAGAUUUAGAUUCUAAUGUGAUUGUGGAAUCUAGAGAUGUUGAGUUUAUUGAGAAUAAAUUUCAACUUGAUUCUAAUAUUGAAUUAGAAUCAAUUAUUGAUCAACCAUGUGUUAAUACUCUUGUUACCUCCACUAACAAUAAUAAAAGGAAAGAGUCUAUGACAUCUUUCGAACCAAAGAGGAGUCAACGUGAAAAGAAAGAAAAGAGUUUAGCUCCGGAUUUUAUUUCAUCACAAGCACUACUCUUCUUGGUUGAAGGGGAUAGAAAGAAUGUACUUAACAAAGUACCAUUGUUGUUAAAUAUUGAAAAAGAUCCAAAGACAUUUAGCGAAGCUAUGUCUUCAAGAGACGCUUCCUUUUGGAGAGAGGUGGUAAAUGAUUAAAUGGAUUCGAUUAUGUCGAAUCAAACAUGGGUCUUGGUUGAUCUUCCUCCAGGAUCUAAACCAAUUAGCAGCAAAUGGGUAUUUAGAAUAAAGUACAAUAGUGAUGGUUCUUUGCAAACUUUUAAGGCUAGAUUAGUAGCCAAAGGGUUUAAGCAAAGAAAUGGGAUGAUUAUUUCGAUACAUAUGCUCCGGUAGCAAGGUUAACUUCUAUAAGAGUGCUAUUUGCAAUUGCUUCAUUGAACAAUUUGUAUGUGCAUCAAAUAGAUGUUAAAACAGCUUUUCUUAAUGGUGAUCUUGAUGAAGAAAUCUAUAUGGAACAACCUGAGGGAUUUGUUUUGCCAGGAAAUGAGAAAAAGGUAUGCAAGUUAGUCAAAUCUCUUUAUGGUUUAAAGCAAGCACCAAAACAAUGGCAUGAGAAGUUUGAUUCGGUAAUUUUAUCUCAUGGUUUUAAGCAUAAUAAUGCUGAUAAAUGUAUAUAUUUUAAAUUUACGAAUGAUUUUGGUGUGAUUAUAUGCUUGUAUAUUGAUGACUUGCUUAUCUUUGGAACAAAUAUGCAAGGAGUAGAUGAUACAAAGAAGUAUUUAACUUCACAGUUUAAGAUGAAAGAUCUUGGUGAAGUAGAUAUUAUCUUAGGUGUCAAAGUGAAUAAACAUAGUGGGGGUUACUCGUUGUGUCAAUCUCAUUAUAUAGAGAAAGUGCUUCUUAAAUUCAAUUAUUUGAAAUUUAAAGAAGCUAAUACCCCAUAUGAUUCUAGUAUUAAAUUACUAGAGAAUUCAGGCCGAGUAGUAGCACAACUAGAAUAUGCUAGUGCUAUUGGUAGCUUGAUGUAUGCUAUGCAUUGUACGAGGCCUGAUAUAGCAUUUGCAGUUUGCAAAAUGUCAAGAUUCACGAGUAACCCUAGUGUUGAACACUGGAAAGCAAUUGGUAUGAUACUUGGUUAUCUUAAAAGGACCAUUAAUUUGGGUUUGUUUUAUAAUGAUUAUCCUGAAGUACUGGAAGGAUAUUCAGAUGCUAGUUGGGUAACCAAUACAAGAGUUAAUAAAUCCACUUCUGGUUGGAUUUUUACAAUUGCUGGAGGAGCGGUUUCUUGGGCUUCAAAGAAACAAACGUGCAUAACUCAUUCAACAAUGGAAAGUGGGUUUAUAGCACUUGCAGCUGCAGGCAAAGAAGCAGAAUGGCUGAGAAAUUUGUUGUUUGAUAUAAUGUUGUGGCCACAACCGAUGCCAUCUAUUUCUUUGUACUGCGACAGUGAAGCUACAUUGUCUAGAGCUUAUAAUAAAGUGUAUAAUGGAAAGUCUAGACAUAUUAGCUUGAGACAUGAAUAUGUGAAACAAUUAAUAGCAGAUGGUGUUAUUAAUAUUGUUUAUGUUAUGACUAAUAAGAACCUAGCAGAUCCUUUAACAAAAGGUCUUUCAAGAGACUUAGUUAAGGAUACAUCUUUUGGAAUGAGAUUGAAACCUUUGCAUAAUAAAGUCACCAACGACGGUAACCCAACUAUGUAGUAGUUGUACCGUUACUCCAUAGUUAAAUGGGUAAUAACAAGUUGUUAUGUGACUGGUUUGGCACCGAGUAAUAAAUAAUCUCAUUCGAGAGUUUCGAUGUAAAUAGCUACGAGGUUGAGGUUGAGUAUUUACUCUUAAUGAAGUUCAAGUCUUAUAGUAGCUAAAGACAUGAUUUGAAACUUCACCUAAGUGAACAUAAGAAAUGGUGUUGUUUCUAACAAGAUCAUGGUUUAAUCUUGUAAAUGUUCAUGAAUCCAAGAUAGAGCACAAGGCCGGAAUAGUGCUAACUAUUGGAACACAAUUUUGAAAUCUGGGAUAGCUUAUAUGUGAUGUAUCUCCGGUAUUUACUUAAGAGACAAAGUUUAAUGCUUAGCACACUAUUGUCUUGUAAAUACUUUGAAAUACACUCACUAAUUAAAGGUUAAAAUCGAAAGAUACCUUUUUGUAUGUAUAAGUUUAUCAUUAAUAAAUCUGAAAAAAAUAUUACAAUCUAGUGGGGAUUGUAAGAGAGAUUGUUACAUUUUUCUUAAUCUUUAGUUUGAUAUUCUGGACAAAAACGGUUUGCCGUUUCUUGAGAAAACGGCUAACCGUUUAAGUCCAGAGAGCAUGUUUUUGUUCUGGGAUAAAACGGCUCACCGUUAUUGAGAAAACGGCUAACCGUUUAACUCCAGAGAGAAUGUUUUAUGUUCUAGAGAAAAAUGGCUCACCGUUAUUGAGAAAAUGGCUAACCAUUUAUUUACAGAGAGCAACGUAUUUGACAUUCUGGAAUAAAAUGGCUCACCGUUUAUUGAGAAAACGGCUAACCGUUUAUUUCCAGAAAUGCGUCAACUGGAAAACGGUUAAGCAAGUUUGAAAUUUAAUUGUCAAUCAAUGCAAAUUCAAACCAAAAGAGUGUCUUUGAAGAAGUACCAUUUCGAAUGGUUGUAUUCUUUCAAAUAAACAUCUUCUUUAUUAAAAGAAAGAUAUACAAUUAGAUUUAUAAUUAGUUUUUACAGAUUUCAUAUAAGUUCUGGAAAUACAAUCUUAUUUGCUAAAGAUUGUAUUCAGGAUUUGAUAUAUCUUGGGGGUAAUUUGCCAUUAAAACUCUAUAGCAAAUCAAGAUUGGUGAGGGCAAAUAAAACCUUAAAGGAAAGUGUGCAAACACGUCUCAAAUCCUAAGAAAUUUUCUCUAUUCUUUGCCUCCAUAUUAUUAAAUUCACCAACAUAACAUGCAUCAUGUUUGCUAUCGUUAUUGAUUUUUCUUGUUUUCUUUAAUUAUUUUUCUAGAAUUUUAGGUCUCUACUCCUCAUCAAUUUAAUUUCGUAACAAUAAAAUUACCUUAUAUACUUGAAAUAGACUUUCCAAAUUUUAGAAAAACACGUUCAAAUUUCGAAUUCCUAAUAAUCUUUUUUGUGGGAUGCUAUGAGAUAUUCUCGUAGCUCACUAAUUUUGUAAGAGGCAUUAAGCGUGACAUGCCUAGAUAGUAGUUCAACAAUUAAGAAUUUGAGAACUUAAGUUUUAACUUAAUUUGAAUGGAAUUUGUUAUACUCUCAGGGAGUGUGUUUAAAUAUCAUCAUGAAGUGCGAGCACAAUUAGAUUGAUCUAGAGUUAGUUUUUAGUAGUUUCUAAAAAGUAAAAUUAAUAUUACUAUAAAUGACAUUGAUUAAUUGAUUGUCACUUCCUCGCUUCACUCUUUAGGGAAUUAGAGUAAAGAUUGGAGUCCUUUUGUGUGCAUAUUUAUAAAUAAAUUUGAUCUAUUUUAAAUCCAAAUAUCUUUUCUACACUAUUAUAAAACUAUCAUAUUAUUUAGAACAUCAAACUCAUAUUAAUUCAAGCUAACCAUAUAAAUGAUCCCAAGAAAUAUAUUUGCCAACCAAAUUGUAAGUAGGAUUCUAUUAAAAAGCUUUCAAAUUAAUUCUUAAAAAAAUGAAAAAGGUAGAAGGGUAAACAACAAUACUUUCAACAAGCUACCAUAUAUAUAUAUAUAUAUAUAUAUAUAUAUAUACACAUUAUUAAUUAAUUUUGAGAUCUUAAAGCACUUUCCCCGUACAACGACACAACGUGUUGUAAAAUCAAGCUAAAACAACACAACAAAAAACUUCGACCCUCAUUCAAUGAAAGUAUGAAACGCCAGUGCAAAUUUUGUCAUAUUUUUGGGGGCCACCGCCAAUUUGCAUCGUUUCCCCUGUUCUUUUGGAUGCUCGCUGGCAAACAAGUGGGUCGAAUUAAAAAACUAAUAUUAUUAUCAUUUCAUAUCUAAAAAUAAAUAUUAAAAAAAGCAUUAUUAUUUAACAACCCAUUAUUCCCUUUCGAUCAAAACUAUACAUAAAAUACUAAAUAUCAAGCAGCAACCAUUAAUAUAUUGAGAAUAUAAAUAAUUAAAAAGAAAAAAAACAGCACACUGGUUUCAGUUUUUAUAUAUCACAUAUGCACAGCAAGAUUGACACUUCUAUCCUAUUUUACCUAACAGGGUUAAAGAUCCACAUGGCUUUACCAAUGAGUGAAAGCGAAACAAGGACAAUUAAUCAAAUAAUAAUUAACUUCUCUUUUAUUUGGACUCUUUGGUCAAAGCAAUGAUGUAAGCUUCGCUCUAUAUACUAAGCUUAUAACCUAAGCUGUCCAGCAAAUUAAACAUACACUUCAAUCACAAGGUUUCUUGUUUUUGUAGUAGUUUCAUGGCAGUUUGAGUUUCUAUCUCUUCUUCCAAACCCUAGCUUAUAUAAUCAAACACUCGCAGUCUCUCUCUCUCUCUCUCUCUCUCUGGCUAGCUAGCUUAGCAACAACAUGGCUGCAGGCUUGGGAGCCAAGAGCAACAACAAUACUGACCCUCAAAACCAAAAAACUCUUGCGGAUUUUGAUCCCCAAAAGAAACCAAAAAGAAAUCUGUAUGCCUCCGGCGCUGCCAUUUUGGCUUCCAUGACUUCAAUCUUACUAGGUUAUGGUAAGUUAACUUUACAAGAACCCUUUCUUGUAUCUAUUAGUUUGCUUUAUAUCGUGAUUCACGAAACAUGCAUCAUGGAGAUGGAAGUAAUAAGGUUUCUUUGUGAAGAAAAUCUUCUCAGAAAGUGGAUAAGUUUUGUGUGGGUGUUAGUCGGUUUAACAGGAAAAAAAACUGUUUAAAUUAGUAUAAGAAAUUAAGAGUUCGAAUAUCUCUGUCAUAAGAUUUUAUUUCAUGCAUGCGUAAUUGGUUCUGCAUGCAUUAAUUAAUUAAUAUUAUAUUUUUUUUUGGUGUUCUUUUCUUGUAGACAUUGGAGUAAUGAGUGGAGCUGCACUCUACAUCAAAGACGACUUUAAAGUCAGUGACACAAAAAUCGAGAUCUUAAUUGGAAUCUUGAAUAUUUACUCACUCUUCGGCUCACUGGCCGCCGGCGUAACCUCCGACUGGAUUGGCCGCCGGUACACUAUCGUGUUAGCCGGGGCCAUCUUCUUCGCCGGAGCGCUGCUCAUGGGGUUUGCCACAAACUAUGCUUUCCUCAUGGGGGGUCGCUUCGUCGCCGGCGUCGGCGUCGGAUACGCUGCAUUGAUCGCUCCCGUAUACACAGCUGAACUCUCUCCGGCUUCCACUCGAGGCUUUCUCACCUCAUUUCCUGAGGUUUGUGCUUCUUCUUCUUGUUUUUGGAAAUAGCUUUCUUGUUUCUUAAAACAGAAACAAUUUUGAACGGAUGAUACUUUUACUUUCCAAAGUUUUGAAAUACAACCUUCAAACACUCGAAUGAGUAACGGUAUAAAUGCGUUUCUCUCUUUUUGUAUUUUAAGAUUUUAUCCUCUAAAUCCGUGACGUAUUAAUUAAACAAAGUAAUCUCUAAUCUCCUCACUAGUGUUAGGACCUAUCUUAAAAACCAAGCUAAUAUUUGAUACUUAACUAAAAUAUAAUAAACUAUAAGGGAUUAAUUGAUAUUAUCCUCUUUUCAACGUUUCAGGUUUUCAUUAACGGCGGGAUAUUACUUGGCUACGUCUCGAACUACGGAUUCUCCAAACUACCCCUCCACUUAGGCUGGCGCAUGAUGCUCGGAAUCGGCGCCAUUCCGUCGGUGCUUCCCGCCGUCGGCGCGUUAGCCAUGCCAGAAUCUCCGCGCUGGCUGGUGAUGCAAGGCCGACUCGCCGAUGCAAAGAAAGUUCUCGACAAAACCUCGGACUCGAAAGAGGAGUCUAUGCUCAGACUCGCCGAUAUCAAAGAAGCAGCCGGCAUUCCUGAAGACUGCAACGACGACGUCGUUCAAGUACCGAAAAUCAACCGUGGCGAAGGCGUAUGGAAAGAGCUGCUGGUCCGUCCUACACCGGCUGUUCGUCACAUCAUAGUCGCAGCCGUUGGUAUUCAUUUCUUCCAACAAGCAUCCGGCAUAGACUCUGUCGUUCUGUACAGUCCUAGAAUCUUUGAAAAAGCUGGGAUUACGUCAAAAAACGAGAAGUUACUCGCUACUGUAGCCGUUGGAUUUGUCAAGACCACUUUCAUCCUAGUGGCUACGUUUUUACUCGACAAAAUCGGACGGCGUCCGUUGCUUUUGAGCAGUGUUGCAGGCAUGAUCGCCUCGCUCGCGACCCUUGCUAUCUCUCUCACAGUCAUCGAUCAGUCACACAAAAAGGUGAUCUGGGCCGUCGGUUUGGCCAUCUCAACGGUUUUAUCCUACGUGGCGUUUUUCUCAAUCGGGAUGGGGCCCAUCACGUUGGUUUACAGUUCAGAGAUUCUGCCGUUGAAGCUACGCGCUCAGGGAGCGAGUAUCGGGAUCAUGGUGAACAGGGUAACAAGUGGGGUCGUAUCGAUGACUUUCCUAUCGCUUAGUAAAGCGAUCACGAUUGGCGGCUCCUUCUUUCUAUACGCGUCAAUUGCAUCAGUUGCGUGGGUGUUUUUCUACACGUGUCUCCCCGAAACGCAGGGUAAAACCCUUGAAGAGAUGGGGGCGCUCUUUGGUAAUUUCCGUUGGCUGAGGGAUUCCAAGAGAGAGAAGAGGAGGAACAAAGCCAACGAGAUUAACGGUGACAGUGCGAGUAACGUUCAGUUAGGGCCGGUUUCUAACGGUAACUGAAGGGUAUUUUAGUAAAUACGAUGCUUUUUAAAAUCUUGGUGUAGCUUUGUAAAAUGAAUACUGUGUCGUGGUGUGUGUGUGCUGAUCACUAAUGGGCGAUUGAAGAAGUCAUUAUGCAAUGAAAAUGAAGCACUAUGAAUCAAAUAGAUAUAAUACUUCUUAUAAUUCCUAUCUCUUUAAAAUUUGCGUGAAUGGUUAAAAUUUUGGUUCGCAUUGCAAUGAUGAUUCUAAUGCCUCAAUUGUCAUUCUGGAAUUGAGCAAAAAUGUUAUGCCUAAAACCUUUUGUAAUCGUAUUUAAUUCGAUAGACAUAUUCAAGUUUAUUUAUUUGAUUCGAUUGACAUAAUGUGACUAAAUUUCUAUGUAAGUAGUAACCAAAGAACGUAAUUGUACUUCAAUAACUCUUGUUAUAAUGAUUAAUGAAUUAGUGGAAAUGGAAAAAUAAAUUAUGAGGAAGUGGGAAAGCUCCAAUUAUUGAGGAGAUAGAUAUAUAUGUUGUGAUCAACAAAGUGUCUUUGUGCAUGCAUUUGGGGCUGAAAUUGCCAUGCGCUUGGACACUUCAUUGUUGGUGGUGAAUGGUGAUGGUUAUUUUUCUUUUUUGUUUUGUUUGGAAAUUUUUUCUUAUUUUUUUAAAGAAAUUAUUAUAAUUUUUGCUUGGCUAUGCCCUUUCUUACCUAUAAAUUUUCGUCUUUUUAUAAUAAAAGAGAUUAGUUUAUGUGGUUUAUGUUAUGUGGCUUUUAGAAUAAGUGGUCCAUUCGUGCAUAUGUCGACGGUCGAUUGAAUUGACUACUUAUGAAGUUUAUUUGAAGUAGAAACAAAGAGACCUCGCAAUUUUUAUGCAUGUUGCCUUUUCCUAGUUUAGUUUGUAAAUUCGGGAAUCAUGAUAUAUUGAUAUGGUUAUAAUAAAAUUUCGGACAUGGGCUUUUUACCAAACUAUCAGCUAAAGAAGGAAUGGUCCCCUCCAAAAAAGGCGUAAUUAUUAAUUUAAUUUUUUUCUUGGUGUGUGAAUUGUGAAAUGCGUGAUCAAAACAAGCUGACACUGUAAAUUAAGUAACCUUCUUUGGUUUUUUAGGUAAGACAAUAGUUUUAACUUUGAAGGUUUUCAAUUCCUUGGAAAUUUGUCUUAAUAAAACUUACCCAUAUAAGUUGUGCAUUUUGAAGCGACAUAACAGAAAAAGAUUUCAGUACAUAAUAAGGUCUACAAAGUAACAAGAUUUUCAUUUUUUUUUUUAAAUAAAACAAAUGUACAUGGAACCAUACGACCCUAAUUACCAAAACCAAGAGAUGAAAAUGCAAGAUAUGAGCGCCCGUAAGCGAUCAAAUAAUGAGGCAUUUGAUGUGGUGUUUUCAAUACAUGGAUCAGCGCAUAAUCGGUCUGUGCUGGGAAUUUCAAUCUCAUUCUGACAGAGCACCUGCUUGAUAUCUUGGGAGAUCACGUUUCAGGGACACAUCAUCCUAAUUAUUAUAUACCGUCCAUGCAUUAAUGUUAAUACGCCCAUUGAUGAAUGGUUUUGCAGCUUGAGUAAGACGUUGCAGCUCGAGUAAGACGGUGGCAAUUGGCAAAUCCUACACGUUUUUUUUUUACCCUAUUAUCAUUUAUCACUAGGACGAACACCGACAUCAGACUGGCCUCUUGUCCUAUAAAGGAAAACACUACACUGGAGUAUCUCUAACCAAUACAACGAAAAGGUUCGAUAAAAAAUGUCAUGUCAGUUGUAUCUGUAUGACCAAAUUCACACCUUCUUUCACCUGCUGAUGCAGUAAGCUGUAGAAGUGUGAUUGAUCAAUCGACACUAAAAAUUAUAUCUAUACAAGCCUCACGAUGAAGCCACCAACUAGGUUAAAGCCAACUCAAUUAAGUUAUGCCUAAUAUACAAUCAUUUCCUCAACAUCGAUUUUGUAGCAGGUCUACAAUCUUUUCUGCUGAAAAAAAUACAGUAGAAAUCCUCUGAAAAUUGCAUCUACAUCACAAUAAUUAGCAAAAUAUAAAGCAAUCAUGUACAUUAGCAUAAGAGCUUUGAAAUUUUGUUUCACUUCUCAAUGCCCUGUUGCAGAUACUGAAUCAAGUCAUAGCCAGCAGUAGUCCACUUGUUGUAAGCAUCUGUGCACACAUUCCUCAUGAAAAUUGCAGCCUCACGAUCACUCAUCUCAGGAUGAAACCUCUUGCGAAGAUUUCCAAUAGGAUCACCCCUGCUAAAGCAAGGUAACCCGCUGUCUAGCAUUAACAACACAGUGUUGAUGAUCCCAUCCAUAUAACGGCGAGCAGCUAGAUAACCCUUGAUGCACAAGCUAUUAAUGACACAAAGUAAUGCAGUCAACUUUCAGCUAAAAGUUCAUUCACAAGCGCGCGCGCACACAAAUAAAAUUAAGAAUAAAAGAAUAAAGCUUCAAAAAGAAAUACUUGUACUACCUAACGAAUUGAUUCCAAGUAUCACUCUUCAUCACCCCGGAUGGAUCCAGUAAUUGAGUCAUUUCAUGGCUCAGCUUGAAGUGUGCACUCUCAAAACGCAUGUUUCUACCAGGUGAUGUCUCCAAAAUGAAACCAAAAUCAAUAUGGACCAGCCUCCCGAUGCUACAAUGACAUUAUAACAUGGUUAAAGGUAUGUUUCAGUAUCUUCAUAACAAAUACCAGAAAACUAUAUAAUUUUUCAGAUAUAUCUAUUGAUGGACAACGAAGUAAAGCAAUUGUAAAUAACAGCGACAGUCAUCAGAAUUCACAAAUCUAACUUGAUAAAUUGCGUGGGUGAGAGAGAGAGAGAGAGAUGAUGCCUCAUACUUAUCAAAAAGAAGAUUUCCAUUGUGCCUAUCCUUUGGUUGGAGUAAUAAGCUUGCAACUGCAUAACCAGCGCUGCUAAUGAUAAAAUUCUCUCGUGCAGCUUCAAAACUAGUAGAACCAACAGGUCCAAAGUCCUGUUGGAAAAUCUCAUACAAACCACCAUCAGUUAUUUCGCCCAUUUGACUUCUACUCCGUGUAUUAGGCACAACCUGCAAGAUAAGAAAGCUAGUUAGGAGAAGAAACCUGCGCAUUGUAUACAGAAAGCCUUUUCAAGUUAGAGCCCUUCAUACAUUUGAAUUUCAAAUGUCAAGUGUAAAUUCAGCUAUAAAGACUUCAUUUCCUACCUAAUAAAAAAAAUUUGCAUUGCUUUGGGAAAAAAAAUUAAUUAAUAUCUUAUCCAAGUUAUAUGGUAAAACUAUGAUGUAUAUAUGUUUGGACAGGCUUAAUGACACCCAAAAGCCCAGGUAAAUCGUACAAGAUGGCAGCCAGGCUGUAUCUAAUCAGAAAUAAUGUCUUUUAGAAAUUUGGAACAAUCAACAAAGUGGGCCCUGAUCUGUAUCAAAGCACAUCAUACAAAAUCUUGUAAAAUCCAAAAUACUCCUCAGACUAGAGCACAGAAAUCCCAAACAGAAACUGACAAGAUAUUCCAAUGUCCAUAACUUAUCUAGUAAUUAUUAAUGAGAAAUGUUAAAGUGGUACAAUUACUAAAACAAAAGUGUUGGUUGGUGUGUGGGGGGGUGGCAGGGCAGAUACUUAAGCAUACUUUUCUAUUAAACAAACUCACCUCAAUUAUACCUCUCUCUGGACCAGUUGGGAGAACACCAUAUGGAAACAGAUAGAGAUUAAGUCCGACUGCUUCAAAUAUGUCUCUAAGAAGGGAAAUCACUUGAAGAGCAAGAACAUCUUGUCGACAAUCAUCUCCAACCUUGAAUAAAGAAAAUGUAGUUAAGAUAAAGAUCAAAAAACAGGAAUAUCUAUGAAGUUUGCAAUAUGAUAAAAAUUAAUAUUAAGUCAACAAUCUAAAAAAAGAUCAGGUAGAUGAAACGAAGAAGCAUGUCUUUUGACUUUUGGUUUCUACUUGAAAACACUUAUAUGCCAUAAAUACUGAACAAAAUAGAUAUCACAUAAUUCACAGUUAACCGACAUGUGUGGCUUGGUGAUCUUUCAUUUGCAGGUUCUCAUAUAAGACAUGAAUGUUACAUAAGACAAAAAACUAAUUUUGCUCUAACCCACAAUGAUAUAUAGACAAUGAUAUAUACACACCUUGAAAAUGCAAGCUUGGGGCAUCACAUUGCUUUGAUCACCAUCCCGGUCCACCACAUUAAAUGUGAUCAUAAUAGGAACUUUGGCUGCUGACUGUAAAGGUAUUCCACUAUCCACCCGGAUGCCCCUUACAAGCUUGUUAGGGGCAGUUGGUAGAUAAAGGUCUUCUCCCGCCAUUUCAAUUUUUUCCAACUCCCUGUUAUAGCAAGCAGGUCAACACCAAUUAAAGCUUGCAUUGAGCUACCACUUGACCUAAAAGCUUAACCUUGAAAUAAAGGGCCCAAACAAUAGUAUUUAAGCUUGCUGUAUCAUUCCCCCUCAUAUGCAAGGCUCAUUUGGCCAUGUCGUAUGAAUCCAACAGACCAACACAGGCAGCCCAUUCCACUCUGGGGGAAUUCAAUUUGUGUUCAGGGGGUUUUGAACACAGCAUUAAGGUCAAAUAUGCUCUGAGACAAUGCUGAGUAGAAACCACUUGACCUAAAAGCUUAAGCUUGAAGGUAAGGGCCCAAACAAUAGCAUUUAAUAUUGCUUUAACAGCUUGAACAAGUAAUAAGUAUACCUCCGGAUACCAGCUCGACGUUCUUCCUUGGGAAGCGGAUACAGUGCACCAGAAAUAUUAGUAACUUUGUCAAAGAAGUCAAACUCUCUUUGAAACAAAUCAAGGGCCUUGGGAUUGAAACCAUCAAUAAUACGCUGCCGAACCAUGGGCAACAAUGUUUGAAACGAACCAUUCUGAAAAAACAGCAAGUAGGAAGAGAUAUUGAGCAUGAAUGACAUAUUACAGAAAGGCUUUGAAAAUCCAAUAGAAAUAUUAAGAACGUUUCCACAAAUUUUGCAAGUUAUAGAUGCAAUAGGUGUGGUACAAAACACCACACCUAUUUAUCAAUAUCAUAUAUAAACAUAGAUGUGUGUGAUUUUUUAUUCAGCACUGUGCCCAUAUUAGUCAUAUGCAUCAAAACAUUUUUAACAGUAAAAUUUAUCAAUAAUUUACAAACUCCUCUUAGAACUCACAGUAUUCUAAACAACAAAAUUUACAACACACCUAACCUCUUACCCUCACAAAUGAUAAUUUCUUCAACACAGCUAACAGGAUUAUUCUAAAAUUCAUAGCAUUACCAAACUGGCCCUUACUGAAUUUUGAAUUUAUAGUUAGAUCAUGUGACUCAUCAAAAUAAGAUGUGGAGAAUUUAGCUCCCAUCUAAAAUUAUAAGGGAUUAUAUCUUUCAAAUUUUUAGAGAUUUUAGCCAUAUAUUUCUAAAUACUUUCAAUUUUCUUGGGAAAAUCUGUACAAAAAAUGAUAUAACGAACAUAUUUCUCACAACAAAAGAAAACAAAUCCAUACACAACUUAAUGAAGGAUUUGAAAACUAUAACAUAGAUUAAGAUAUUUCAAUAAGUGGUUUCCAUGGCGUCAUAAUAGAUGUUCUCAUUGUUCAUACGCCAAGGAGUUCUUUUGAUCAUUCAUAAGUCACUUCGAUCGAGACUUAUGCAAAGGUUCAUAUCAUUCACGGACCAAUGGAUUCUUGCUUGAUAUAAAGAGAAGAUGAAUGUACCUUCACAGAGUUAGCAUCUUUCUCUUUCCCAGAUUCUGGUACAAAUGUCUCACCCUGCCAUCCACAAACUCGUGUGUUACAUAUUCUAAUAGAGAAACAGAAAAUAUAAUUUACAUGAAAAGCACAUUCCAUCAAAAUUAACCAAAAGCAUAAUAACUGCAGGCCUUCUAGUCCUAUUAAUAAAUAAAUAUUCUCACACCUGUAGAUGCCAUAUCAGUAUAUGCGCAAAUAUAUCACUUCUUUGAGUUGCUCUAAGCAAAUACCCUUCUACCAAUCUCUGAAAGUUAUGAAGUGGAAAAUAGAUAGAUCAAUAAAUCAUAAUAUAUGCUAAUAGAUAAAGACAGUAGUCAUACAUAUUAUUUGGUCUAAUUUUAGAAUGUCUGUCAAGCCAACCGCAACCAUACCCACUAAAUCAUAGUAUAUGCUCAUAGAUAAUGACAGUAAUCUCGUCUCCAAAAUGUUAUAUAGCAAAUCCAAGAAUUUGCAACUCUUAUGCUGUUGCUAUAAAAAAUUACAAUAGAAAAGUUGAGAAAAUAUCGAAGACCUUACCAAUUAAAUACCCAACUUACUCUAAUCUAUAUCUCCAAAAUGUUAUUAGAGAGAAUUUAAGGAUUUACAACUCUCAUGUUGUUAGAAAAUGUUAUUAUAGAUGAGUUGAGAGAAGAUAGAAGAGUUUGGAAUUUGGAAGUUUUAGGGAGUGUAGUCUAGCACGUCCCUUAUUGGGUAUCAAAGUUUCCUAUUUGCUUAUCCGAACCAUUUAAAUGAUUUUGAGGGCGAGUCUUUUGUUGGGACUUGAAUGAAGAAGAGAUGAACACUAGAGAAAUAAUUCAAAAACCCUCUUUUAUGUGUACAACUCAUUCAUAGAGUGUGAUUGGUUAGAAAAGUAUAGAAACUUCCAAUCACCUCUUUCUUCUAGUGAAUGGUUUCAAGAUUGUGGAAGAGAUAAGUAAAGAGUACUGUUGUGACUCCCUACUACGAAAAUCAUUGGCAUUUGGAAGGGAGAAAAGCUAAAUCUUCCCGAAUGUGCAGUUUAUGCCCUAAUAUGGUGGUAUGAAAUGAAAUAAACAAAUGGAUUUUCAAGUUACAAAAAGAGACAGGAAUUCUGAAAAAUUAACAUCUUGCUCCAGAUAGGACUUCAGAGUUCCAAGGAGUAUUAAGAUUGAUUGUUUAUCUUCAUUUAUCCCAAUUGAGAGGGGAUUUUGGGUUCUAGCUAUUUGGGUUGUUCAGCUUUAACAGUGGUGGAUGGGUAUUUUUGCUGACCAUCCCAGCAUUUCUUUUGACUUUCUUUAUAUAGCUUUAGCUUCCCCAAUAUAGGGUAUUUUUUGUCAUUUGAUGGCCAUCUGGUCCACACCCUACAUAAUAACUGAAUCUUUCAUUAUUACUCCAAAUUUCAGUGCUUCCAAUCAUCAAAAAUAAAUAAAUAAAUAAUGAUUUACACUGGAAUGAGCAUUAUCAGUCCUUUAGAUAAAAACUUAUGAAUGUAAUUCAAUGUCACAGAAGUGGAAUCAUGCCAUUAAAUAAAGAUAGAUCAAGCUCAGAUUGGUCCAAGUUGCUUAACCUCUUGGCACAAUCCAAGGGAAAAUUAACAGUGGAUCAGGAAAUUUCAAAAGCCCAGAUAAUGCAGUAAGGUCUCAAUCAAUUUUCCAGACUCAACACCCCUGCGAUAAUGCACAAAAUAUAGAUAGUAACACACACAUAGAUCAACAUUUUCAUUACAUUACUCACCUCAUCAUCGUAUCGAAGAGCCUGAACUAGCUGUGGCAUGAAGAAAGUAACUCGUUCAGGAGGAUAAGACUCCAAGACCCUAAGUAUAUAGGCCAUGACACGUGGAUGACCCUUAUAUGCUGGAGUAAGGAACUCAAGGGCUUGUGUGAUUGAACAAGCUGCCCAGUGUGGCAAUUGUUGCAGAAGAGCUGAAUCUUC